GCGGGCGUGGCGGAACUGGCAGACGCGCGGGAUUUAGGUUCCCGUGGCCGCAAGGCCGUGCAGGUUCGAUUCCUGUCGCCCGCA
Molecule: transfer RNA, 84 nt
Filed under: Pseudomonadota bacterium
Lineage: Bacteria; Pseudomonadati; Pseudomonadota
Also listed under: 3 other names
Description: tRNA-Leu
Rfam family: tRNA
About the family: Transfer RNA (tRNA) molecules are approximately 80 nucleotides in length. Their secondary structure includes four short double-helical elements and three loops (D, anti-codon, and T loops).
Source: RNAcentral